This 434-nucleotide ribosomal RNA is filed under the name uncultured bacterium. RNAcentral's name for it is "bacterial SSU rRNA". It matches the Rfam family "Bacterial small subunit ribosomal RNA", at positions 957 to 1393 of the family's 1533-position model. The record is from RNAcentral.
UAACGCGAAGAACCUUACCUGGGCUUGACAUGCAGGGUGAAACCCGUGAAAGCGGGUGCUCUUCGGAGCCUGCACAGGUGGUGCAUGGCUGUCGUCAGCUCGUGCCGUGAGGUGUUGCCUUAAGUGGCGCAACGAGCGCAACCCCUGUCCUUAGUUGCCAGCGGGUGAUGCCGGGAACUCUAGGGAGACUGCCGGUGCCAAACCGGAGGAAGGUGGGGAUGACGUCAAGUCAUCAUGCCCCUUAUGUCCAGGGCUGCACGCAUGCUACAAUGCGCGGUACAGAGGGCUGCGAUCCCGUAAGGGGGAGCGAAUCCCAGAAAGCCGUGCUCAGUUCGGAUCGAGGUCUGCAACCCGACCUCGUGAAGUCGGAGUCGCUAGUAAUCGCAGAUCAGCAAUGCUGCGGUGAAUACGUUCCCGGGUCUUGUACACACCGA